Molecule: ribosomal RNA, 479 nt
Filed under: uncultured bacterium
Lineage: Bacteria
Description: bacterial SSU rRNA
Rfam family: Bacterial small subunit ribosomal RNA
Source: RNAcentral
GAUGAACGCUGGCGGCAUGCCUUACACAUGCAAGUCGAACGGUAACGCGGGGCAACCUGGCGACGAGUGGCGAACGGGUUGAGUAAUAUAUCGGAACGUGCCCAGUAGUGGGGGAUAGCCCGGCGAAAGCCGGAUUAAGUACCGCAUGAGACCUGAGGGUGAAAGCGGGGGAUCGCAAGACCUCGCGCUAUUGGAGCGGCCGAUAUCAGAUUAGGUAGUUGGUGGGGUAAAGGCCUACCAAGCCGACGAUCUGUAGCUGGUCUGAGAGGACGACCAGCCACACUGGGACUGAGACACGGCCCAGACUCCUACGGGAGGCAGCAGUGGGGAAUCUUGGACAAUGGGCGAAAGCCUGAUCCAGCGACGCCGCGUGGAGGAAGAAGUCCUUCGGGAUGUAAACUUCUGAACUAGCCGAAUAAAAGGCCUGUGGACACACAGGAGAAGAAAGUAGGCUAGGAAAAGUCCCGGCUAACUACGUG